GCGAGCGUGGCGGAAUUGGUAGACGCACUGGAUUUAGGUUCCAGCGCCGCAAGGUGUAAGAGUUCGAGUCUCUUCGCUCGCACCA
This 85-nucleotide transfer RNA is filed under the name Chitinimonas taiwanensis DSM 18899. RNAcentral's name for it is "tRNA_Leu_TAG". It matches the Rfam family "tRNA". Rfam says of the family: Transfer RNA (tRNA) molecules are approximately 80 nucleotides in length. Lineage: Bacteria; Pseudomonadati; Pseudomonadota; Betaproteobacteria; Neisseriales; Chitinibacteraceae. RNAcentral also lists the same sequence under 1 other name. The record is from RNAcentral.